GAUGAACGCUGGCGGCGUGCCUAAUAAAUGCAAGUCGAGCGAACGGACGAGAAGCUUGCUUCUCUGAUGUUAGCGGCGGACGGGUGAGUAACACGUGGAUAACCUACCUAUAAGACUGGGAUAACUUCGGGAAACCGGAGCUAAUACCGGAUAAUAUUUUGAACCGCAUGGUUCAAAAGUGAAAGACGGUCUUGCUGUCACUUAUAGAUGGAUCCGCGCUGCAUUAGCUAGUAGGUAAGGUAACGGCUUACCAAGGCAACGAUGCAUAGCCGACCUGAGAGGGUGAUCGGCCACACUGGAACUGAGACACGGUCCAGACUCCUACGGGAGGCAGCAGUAGGGAAUCUUCCGCAAUGGGCGAAAGCCUGACGGAGCAACGCCGCGUGAGUGAUGAAGGUCUUCGGAUCGUAAAACUCUGUUAUUAGGGAAGAACAUAUGUGUAAGUAACUGUGCACAUCUUGACGGUACCUAAUCAGAAAGCCACGGCUAACUACGUG
RNAcentral lists this ribosomal RNA (497 nucleotides) under uncultured bacterium. Its description in RNAcentral is "partial 16S ribosomal RNA". It matches the Rfam family "Bacterial small subunit ribosomal RNA", at positions 28 to 507 of the family's 1533-position model. The record is from RNAcentral.